GAUAGACACUAAGUAGCACCAGAUAAUUAUUCGAAUAAUUGCCACCUAUCAGUCCAGUUUCAUUACUAGUGGUGCUUUGAUCCUAUCUUGUCCAAAAUAAUUUCUGCUUAUUCAGUUACGUGUUGUACAGCCAAAUAUGCAGUCCAGAUUACAGAAGGAAGGCUCAGAAUCUGAGCAAUUCUGGGAUUUGUUAGGGGGAAAAUCUGAGUACCCCAGUCAGAAGGUCGGCAGGGAUGUUGAAAGUGAUCCUCAUUUAUUCUCGUGUUCCUUCUCAAAUGGUUAGAAGAACUAUCUGUAUAUAUCAUAACAUUUAUCUUCAUACUCUGCUGCAGCCCCACUCACGCUUGUAUAAAUUAUAAUUUGUUCUCUUUGUUGUGUGCAUUUUAUUGGUUGCCUCUGGAAUUGACUGCUGAUCUUCAGAUUUGAAGGUGCGUCAUUCUCUUGUAUCUGUUCUUUGCUAUCUAAAUAUAACUAUAUGCUACCUGGCCUUUUAUGCUGCAUCAAACAUGAUUCUUAGUCCCAAAGUUUCAGAUGUCUUGGAAACUGUAGACAUGAACAGAUAUGCCUAUGAAUGAAUAAUAAAGUAAAGAAGGGAAUGACUACAGACUUAUGACAGUGUGCUUCAACCCCAAGUAACUAUGUGCACGUAUCAGUAACAGAGUUGGAUAUGAUUUGUGCAUCCUAGUUCCUAACCAAACCACAUCACAUUUUUCUGUGGAUCUUUUACAUUGCGUGGACAAUUGAUCACUUAAUACAAUUUCCUGCAUUAAUAUAACCCUAAAUCCUCAAUAAAAGUAAAUAUGUUGGUGUCGGAGACUGUCUUGUUAUUCAGGUUUUAUUUAGCAUGGUUCUGUUAUAAGAUACAGUAAACAUAUAGAUACAUUUUGACCUGCAAUUGACAUUUUCAUUUUUGUUAUUAUCUAUAUGUCUAACUACAUGGGUCAUUUAAGGAUUGCAACAUUUAUGCAUAGAUUAUAAUAAUUAUUGCCAUAUGCAACAAAACUUGAUAGGAAAAAAAUGGUGAUAAUACCAUAAAAGCAGAAAUAAAUUGCAAUCGCAAAUUAAUACUCCCUCCGUCCCUCCCAUUUCUUAUCAAAUGGGUUGGGCACGGAGGUUAAGAAAUAUGUAUAAAGUAGUGGAAAAGAGAAAGAAAAGUGGGUGAAGUGGUGGGACCCAUUGAUUUUUAAUGUAUAAAAAGAAUAAAGUGGAGUAAAAGUAGUGUGAAAAGGAAAGAAAAGGGGAGAAGUGGUGGGACCCAUUGACUAUUUUUGGUAAGUUUUGAAAUGUAAAGAAUUGGAUGGGACACCUUAAAAAGGAAAGUGUAAAGAAAUGGAAGGGACGGAGGGAGUAUCUCUGUAUUAUUCGUAAUAUCGGAAAGGUAUUCAAUCCUAAUAUAUGAAAUUGAAUCUUUGCUGAGUUAAGGCUGAAAUAUUUAUGUAUGCAGGUGAAAGAGAUUUACAACUUUGACCAGGAUGAUUUGAUGACUGAAGAUAUCUUCAUCCUGGAUUGUCACUCUGAUAUUUUUGUCUGGGUGGGGCAACAGGUCAACUCCAAAUAUAAAAAGGAUGCUC
RNAcentral lists this long non-coding RNA (1571 nucleotides) under Daucus carota (carrot). RNAcentral's name for it is "long non-coding RNA (DCAR_LNC004610)". The record is from RNAcentral. Lineage: Eukaryota; Viridiplantae; Streptophyta; Magnoliopsida; Apiales; Apiaceae.